Gavialis gangeticus (Gharial) is the source of this 983-nucleotide long non-coding RNA. RefSeq lists it as uncharacterized. The transcript is spliced from 2 exons. Lineage: Eukaryota; Metazoa; Chordata; Crocodylia; Gavialidae. The record is from RefSeq and is a predicted model, not a curated record.
CCAAGAUCCUGGGCUCUCUGGGGCAGUGACAGCUCUUUUCUACAUGUCUGUGAAAUGCAUUUGCUCUUAGAUUCCCAGUGAUUUCAACCAUCUUUGGAGUAUCUGCUCAAGAACAAUAACAAGCAUGAAUAAGUAUAAGAAAUGAAUCACUGUUGUGAUUGUUAGAGAGCACAGAAGUGGUAGAAGAUAGGUAGAAGAAAACUGGAGAGAAGAGAAACUAGGUAGGUAAAUGUAUCCAAGGAUGCCAUAGAGUUUCACAUCCAUUUUCUUAAAGCUGGCCCCUGGGUUAAACGAUGAAGAGAUGCCAGAGUCUAGGAUGGGCACACAAAGACCCCAGUGGUGAAUUAUCAGAUCUUUGUCUCAUUUUCAGAUCAUGGACAUUGAAAAUAUCACCUGAGUCUCUUCCAAUGAUGUGUUAUUCAUUUAAAUGUGCAUAGAUCAGUAAUUCUCAACCAGGUUGUCACAGCACUCUUGGGUGCCACCAGAUCCUUUGAAGGGUGCUGCAAAGCAUGAGAAGAUAAUCCAGGUGUGAGGAUAUAAGCAGAUAAUUGCAGGCUCAGGCUGGACUGUGCUCAUUGACCCCCUACCUGGCCCCGCUGCAGAAAGGGAAUUGAAAAACCAUGACGCAGCAAUAUGUUUCUUCAGUGCGUCCAAAGAAACUGGUUUCCCAACAUAACUCCUGCCCACAGAAAUAACAGCUCCAUCCAGAGGAACUGGCAACAAGACAUUCUUCCUAUCCUGUUAAAGAUGAACAGAAAGCAUUUUGGGGGGAAACGACUGUCAUAGGAAGUAAAGCUCAGAUCAUUAGAGCAGGAACCUGGGAGUUAGGACCAUUAAAUUCUAUUUGUAGCUCUGAUACCAGCUUGUUUCACACAAUUUCACCGUUCUGUGCCUCAGUUUCCCCAUCUUUAAAUACAGCUAAAUAGGAAUGCUGGGAGACCAAAUGAGCUAGUUAAAUACAAAUCCUCUGCUGAAAGGCACUA